AAAUACUAAGGGAGGAGAUAGGAUUUUUGCUUCAUGCUUGGUUUAGAAGAGAUCUAGAAGGAGAUUUGGCUAAAUUUGCAUCAAGAUUAAGCUCAAGAGCUUAGAGGGCCACAAUUGGAUAAGGGGAAGGAAAAAGUGAUCGAAUAGCCGUCAAAGCCGUUCGACAACAUCCGAGAUUUUGCUCGGUAGCAAUCGGAUUCGGGAUCAUUAAAGUCGAAGUCAUCUACACUAUCAAAGCCUCCAUUUUGGUAUAAUUUUGGUUGAACUUUGAAAUGGCAUGUAUAGGACUACCCUAAUGUUGAAGGUCAUGUACCUUUCGGUUUUGUGUAAGCUUGGAUAGGCAUGCGAAAAUGGCUUAUAUAUCGUUUUAGUAUGAUUCUAUAAUAGUUUGUAUGAUAAUCAUUAUGGGGUAUGAAA
Molecule: long non-coding RNA, 417 nt
Organism: Gossypium arboreum
Lineage: Eukaryota; Viridiplantae; Streptophyta; Magnoliopsida; Malvales; Malvaceae
Exons: 3
Source: RefSeq, a predicted model, not a curated record